Molecule: ribosomal RNA, 433 nt
Filed under: uncultured bacterium
Lineage: Bacteria
Description: partial 16S ribosomal RNA
Rfam family: Bacterial small subunit ribosomal RNA
Source: RNAcentral
AACGAACGCUGGCGGCAUGCCUAACACAUGCAAGUCGAACGAGACCUUCGGGUCUAGUGGCGCACGGGUGCGUAACGCGUGGGAACCUGCCUUUAGGUUCGGAAUACCUCAGAGAAAUUUGAGCUAAUACCGGUUGAUGUCUUCGGACCAAAGAUUUAUCGCCUUUUGAUGGGCCCGCGUUGGAUUCGCUAGUUGGUGGGGUAAAGGCCUACCAAGGCGAGGAUCCAUAGCUGGUCUGAGAGGAUGAUCAGCCACACUGGAACUGAGACACGGCCCAGACUGCUACGGAGGGCAGCAGUAGGGAAUAUUAGGCGAGGGACGAAAGCCUGAUCCAGCAGUGCCGGGUGAGUGAUGAAGGCCUUAGGGUUGUAAAGCUCUUUUAGCCGAGAUGAGAAUGACGGUAUCGGGAGAAUAAGCACCGGCUAACUCCGUG